Stomoxys calcitrans (stable fly) is the source of this 1421-nucleotide long non-coding RNA. RefSeq lists it as uncharacterized. NCBI's taxonomy places the organism in Eukaryota, Metazoa, Arthropoda, Insecta, Diptera, Muscidae. The record is from RefSeq and is a predicted model, not a curated record. The transcript is spliced from 2 exons.
UCCUGGUUCAAUAAUGGAUUUAAUAUUCUCGAUGACCGCUUGUCGCUUGCUGGCAUGAUGGCGUAUGCGCGGCUAGUGCUCGCCGGAUGGGGUGGUUCUUUGCGCAAGCGAAUCAAACACAGGAACAAAAAGUUUUACAUGCCAGUCUAGAAAAGUAAAGGGGAUGUCUGGCCCGAAAGAGAAACAGCAACUAAACUAACUAAUAUGUCUAAUGAUAAAAAGGAAGCACCACACCUACCUGCCGGAAUGCCUUCUCGUCUGGUGUUCCGACGAGGAAUAGCCCUCCCUCUGGAGCAGGAGCUCCACCAUAGCAACAAAGGAAACCUGUUGCCCCGUACCUACCUCUUCAUCUUACUAUCCCCCUCCUAUCCCCUCCUUAAGAUCUACACGAUCUUAGUAAAAGACAUCAUUUUUUUUCAAGAACGUUAUAAACAUUUCAAGUUGGUUUUAUUUCCUAAAGCAAUCCAUAAUGGCCUCAUCAAAGUUCAAAAAUUCACAUUCUUUAAACAUUGAUUAAAAGGGUAAAACUAGUCACGACGUUACUGCAAUUCAAUAGACUUUAGCUUAAAAAAAAACAAUGUAAAAGAAACUGAUACAUAUACUAAUAUUUAUGGGUACAUGGCUAGAUUUAAUCGGAUUUAAUGGCCUCUCAUCGCUUCCUCUUCUUCUUUCAGGGCUCCUGCCGCCGAACAUGGGUCUGCCCCCGCUGGAAGCUUACGUGCUGUCCGUCCGUCUAUGUCCGUCCAAAUCUUGUAAUAGUAUUGUGCCAUUAUCUCACGCCUGAAAGGAUGGCAGUCGGGUUGAUUUGGCUGGGACAAACAUCCCUACGGAAACUCCCUACCUGGCUAGAAAGAGCUCUAUCUAUGGGGUAUGGAACUAGACCAACCAAAGCUAGACUUGGUCUUUUAAAAGAUAAGUAUAAACCAAAUAUAAUAAAAAUGCCUACCUAACAAAACUAAUUUAUUCUCUUCUAUUUUUAGAUAAUUUAUUCGUCCGUCCGUCCGUCCGUCAAUGUGUGGAGUAUAGGAGUAAGUCUAGGUAAGCUAUCACCUGGGGACACUGCUGAAUGUGAGUGCCUUGUUCUGGAAGUCCCACGAUGGCGCAGAAAGGAUGAGCCGGUGGUGAGCAAGCUGAGCGGUUGUUUUAAUCGUCUUUUUUUUCCAAUUGAUUUUAGUUUAUAAUUAGUUCGUAAUGUAGUUCUUUUUUUUUUUUGUUUUAAUAAUAACAGCUUUUUAUUCAGUUUCUUUUGCUUUAAAAGAUUAGCUAUUAAGUUGGUUUUUAAGCGUAGCUUUUAAUGCAAUUUCUAAUUCAAUAGUUGGUAGUUUAGUUUUAAAGAUAAUUUGGUUUUCCUCUUUCUUGUUGAUUAGUUUUUGAAAGUUCUUUGGUUUUCUUUUUUUUUCAAUAAAGAAAUAGAAACAGUU